UAGUUGGUGGUUCAGUGAUAGAAUUCUUGCCUUACGUGCAGGAGUCCCAGCUUCAAUUCUGGCCAAUUCA
This 70-nucleotide transfer RNA is filed under the name Loxodonta africana (African savanna elephant). It matches the Rfam family "tRNA". Rfam says of the family: Transfer RNA (tRNA) molecules are approximately 80 nucleotides in length. Their secondary structure includes four short double-helical elements and three loops (D, anti-codon, and T loops). The record is from Rfam by way of RNAcentral. Lineage: Eukaryota; Metazoa; Chordata; Mammalia; Proboscidea; Elephantidae.